Cryptomeria japonica (Japanese cedar) is the source of this 645-nucleotide long non-coding RNA. RefSeq lists it as uncharacterized. The record is from RefSeq and is a predicted model, not a curated record. Lineage: Eukaryota; Viridiplantae; Streptophyta; Pinopsida; Cupressales; Cupressaceae. The transcript is spliced from 2 exons.
UAUACCCUACUCUCCCUCCUAUAUAAACCCACUCCCACCGCUCCACUUUUCAUAGCAAAAAUACACGAUUCUCUGUGUGUUGUGAGUCUCUUGCAGUUGUCUUGUUAGGCUUUCAUCUUUAUUUUUGCACAAAAUAGCCUUUGAAUUUUAAUUAAAUUUGUUUCUGCUAUGCGCUGAGAGUCGCAGGGUGUUUGAAGGGACUCUUUCCUUUCUGUGUUUCUGUUCCGUGCUCUGCGCUGAGAGUCACAGGGUGUUUGAAGGGAGUUACUCUGCAUUUUCAAGUGUUUGAUAGGAAAUGGCGGGUGCUUCAAGCGGUCGCGCUGGUUAUGGACUGUACGUCUAACAGCUCGUUUUUGAUGUAGAUGUCGUUCUCCACAACCAAAUUGAAAACAUAUUUAUUUACAAAAUGUCCAUUCAAUUCAUCCCACUUUUGUACAUUUCUGUCGUUUUGGUAUUCUCUAAAUUAUUUCGUACAACACUUACGUUUCAGAAAAAUGUUAAGCUUAUAGAAGCUCUUAUAAAUGGAAUUGUGAUAAUGUUUUGAACUUUUUUGUGGGGGGUGAGAAUGUCAUAGGGGUCCUUCUUCUAAUUCAUUGUGGGUAAUGUGUAAUGUUCACAUGAACUGAACCAAAUCUUUUCAUUGUC